CACGGCUCCAUUCUGAGCAGUCACAAGAGGCCAACUGGAGGGGCAGGUUGCUUGGCAGCCGCCACAAAGGGGGCAGAUGAGAGAAGCUGUCUGUUGUCAUGGCGACCCCAUCUCUGCUCUGGGCUUCCUGUGCCCAGAGGCCUGCUGGUUUUUGUGAUCUGUCAUUGGAGAGAGAUGGGUCAGCAGAGGAAAAAGA
Long non-coding RNA from Terrapene triunguis (Three-toed box turtle), 196 nucleotides. RefSeq lists it as uncharacterized. The record is from RefSeq and is a predicted model, not a curated record. The transcript is spliced from 3 exons. NCBI's taxonomy places the organism in Eukaryota, Metazoa, Chordata, Testudines, Emydidae.